CCCUUAGAUGUUCUGGGCCGCACGCGUGCUACACUGAGUGGAUCAGCGGGUCAGGUUGCGCGAAAGCGUUUCCUAAUCUUUAAAUCCGCUCGUGAUGGGGAUUGACGGUUGCAAUUUUCUGUCAUGAACGAGGAAUACCUUGUAAGCGCGGGUCAUCAUCCCGCGCUGAAUACGUCCCUGCCCUUUGUACACACCGCCCGUCGCACCUACCGAUUGAAUGGUCCGGUGAAGUCUUCGGACUGGCAGCAUGUAUGUGCUUGCCGGGAAGUUGAGUAAACCUUACCAUUUAGAGGAAGGUGAAGUCGUAACA
RNAcentral lists this ribosomal RNA (310 nucleotides) under uncultured eukaryote. RNAcentral describes it as "partial 18S ribosomal RNA". It matches the Rfam family "Eukaryotic small subunit ribosomal RNA", at positions 1470 to 1796 of the family's 1831-position model. The record is from RNAcentral.